Molecule: non-coding RNA, 161 nt
Filed under: bovine gut metagenome
Source: RNAcentral
CAGAGUAGAUGGCCGUGCGUCAUAUAUCCGGUGCAGAGAAGACUCACCGGUAUCAGUGUCCCGACAACGGGGAGUUGUGUCGGGGACGAAACAUAUGAAGCGCUAUUUGGUAAACAAUACCAGGAAGCGUCAGUAUUGCGGUUCGACCAUUGCAUCCCGCU